This 301-nucleotide ribosomal RNA is filed under the name uncultured bacterium. RNAcentral describes it as "partial 16S ribosomal RNA". It matches the Rfam family "Bacterial small subunit ribosomal RNA", at positions 509 to 809 of the family's 1533-position model. The record is from RNAcentral.
CAGUAGCCACGGUAAUACGUAGGUGGCAAGCGUUGUCCGGAAUUAUUGGGCGUAAAGGGCUCGCAGGCGGUUUCUUAAGUCUGAUGUGAAAGCCCCCGGCUCAACCGGGGAGGGUCAUUGGAAACUGGGAAACUUGAGUGCAGAAGAGGAGAGUGGAAUUCCACGUGUAGCGGUGAAAUGCGUAGAGAUGUGGAGGAACACCAGUGGCGAAGGCGACUCUCUGGUCUGUAACUGACGCUGAGGAGCGAAAGCGUGGGGAGCAAACAGGAUUAGAUACCCCGGUAGUCCCUGUCUCUUAUAU